This 497-nucleotide ribosomal RNA is filed under the name uncultured bacterium. RNAcentral describes it as "partial 16S ribosomal RNA". It matches the Rfam family "Bacterial small subunit ribosomal RNA", at positions 28 to 507 of the family's 1533-position model. The record is from RNAcentral.
GAUGAACGCUGGCGGCGUGCCUAAUACAUGCAAGUCGAGCGAACAGAUGAGGAGCUUGCUCCUCUGACGUUAGCGGCGGACGGGUGAGUAACACGUGGAUAACCUACCUAUAAGACUGGGAUAACUUCGGGAAACCGGAGCUAAUACCGGAUAAUAUAUUGAACCGCAUGGUUCAAUAGUGAAAGACGGUUUUGCUGUCACGUAUAGAUGGAUCCGCGCCGCAUUAGCUAGUUGGUAAGGUAACGGCUUACCAAGGCAACGAUGCGUAGCCGACGUGAGGGGGGGCUCGGCCACACUGGAACUGGGACACGCUCCUGACUCCUACGGGAGGCAGCAGUCGGCAAUCUUCCGCAAUGGGCGAAAGCCUGACGGAGCAACGCCGCGUGAGUGAUGACGGUCUUCGGAUCGUAAAACUCUGUUAUUAGGGAAAAACAAAUGUGUAAGUAACUAUGCACGUCUUGACGGUACCUAAUCAGAAAGCCACGGCUAACUACGUG